This 485-nucleotide ribosomal RNA is filed under the name Glomus sp. RNAcentral's name for it is "SSU rRNA". It matches the Rfam family "Eukaryotic small subunit ribosomal RNA", at positions 591 to 1078 of the family's 1831-position model. The record is from RNAcentral. Lineage: Eukaryota; Fungi; Glomeromycota; Glomeromycetes; Glomerales; Glomeraceae.
CCAAUAGCGUAUAUUAAAGUUGCUGCAGUUAAAAAGCUCGUAGUUGAAUUUCGGGACCAAUAUGUCGGUCGUGCCUCGGUACGUACUGGCAUCGUUGGUUUCUCCCUUCUGACGAACCAUGAUGUCAUUUAUUUGGUGUUGUGGGGAAUCAGGACUGUUACUUUGAAAAAAUUAGAGUGUUUAAAGCAGGCUCACGCUUGAAUACAUUAGCAUGGAAUAAUGAAAUAGGACGUUUGAUUCUAUUUUGUUGGUUUCUAGGAUCGACGUAAUGAUUAAUAGGGAUAGUUGGGGGCAUUAGUAUUCAAUUGUCAGAGGUGAAAUUCUUGGAUUUAUUGAAGACUAACUACUGCGAAAGCAUUUGCCAAGGAUGUUUUCAUUAAUCAAGAACGAAAGUUAGGGGAUCGAAGACGAUCAGAUACCGUCGUAGUCUUAACCAUAAACUAUGCCGACUAGGGAUCGGAUGAUGUUAAUUUUUUAAUGACUCA